UGUGUGGUCAGCUGAAAAUCGUCCUUUCAGAACACAACAAAUGUGUGUGUUGGUAACAUUCAACAGAUAUCAAAACAAUGAACAUCUGAUAUCUCCAGGUGUUUGAUCAGUUCUCCAUGUGUUUGAUCAGUUCUCCAUGUAUUUGUCUCCAGUUGUUUGUCUCCAGGUGUUUGAACAGUUCUCCAGGUGUUUGUCUCCAGGUGUUUGAACAGUGCUCCAGGUGUUUGUCUCCAGGUGUUUGAUCAGUUCUCCAGGUGUUUGUCUCCAGUUGUUUGUCUCCAGGUGUUUGAACAGUUCUCCAGGUGUUUGUCUCCAGGUGUUUGAACAGUGCUCCAGGUGUUUGAUCAGUUCUCCAGGUGUUUGUCUCCAGUUGUUUGUAUUUGUCUUCAGGUAUUUGUCUCCAGGUGUUUGAUCAGUUCUCCAGGUGUGUUUGUCUCACAGAGUGAGUCUGCAGCCAGGUGAGAGCCACAGUUGAUAUCAGACAUACACUGUAAAUAUUAAUGGUUUUUAUUCAGGUGGAGACCUCUAAUGGUCAUAGAACGUAUGACAGGAGGAUCAUAUCCACUACACGCCUUAUUGUGAGUAACUCUUAUCCUUCAUCAAAUCAAAACAUUCACCCCCCCGUACAGUGUGUGUCGAUCGAGACAUGAGCUAAUCAGACCUAUUUGGUGUUUUGAACCACGCUGUAAACAUGUUAAUCUCUGCUGUAAAAACAGGCUUUUUAGAAUGGGUGUGUAUGUGACUUCCUGUGCUUCUGCAGCCAGCCUCUAGUGGACACUCGAGGAACUGCAGGAUUUUACACUUCAGCAUUGGCUUCAUUUUUGAACACCAGAGGUUGCUGCUUGACAUCAGACUACUCAGGAGGCGGAGCUCAGAGCUUCCACUGUA
Long non-coding RNA from Labrus mixtus (cuckoo wrasse), 888 nucleotides. RefSeq lists it as uncharacterized. Lineage: Eukaryota; Metazoa; Chordata; Actinopteri; Labriformes; Labridae. The transcript has 4 exons. The record is from RefSeq and is a predicted model, not a curated record.